Molecule: ribosomal RNA, 563 nt
Filed under: uncultured bacterium
Lineage: Bacteria
Description: partial 16S ribosomal RNA
Rfam family: Bacterial small subunit ribosomal RNA
Source: RNAcentral
UGGGGGAAUUUUGGACAAUGGGGGAAACCCUGAUCCAGCCAUCCCGCGUGUGCGAUGAAGGCCUUCGGGUUGUAAAGCACUUUUGGCAGGAAAGAAACGUCGCGGGUUAAUACCCCGCGAAACUGACGGUACCUGCAGAAUAAGCACCGGCUAACUACGUGCCAGCAGCCGCGGUAAUACGUAGGGUGCAAGCGUUAAUCGGAAUUACUAGGCGUAAAGCGUGCGCAGGCGGUUCGGAAAGAAAGAUGUGAAAUCCCAGAGCUUAACUUUGGAACUGCAUUUUUAACUACCGGGCUAGAGUGUGUCAGAGGGAGGUGGAAUUCCGCGUGUAGCAGUGAAAUGCGUAGAUAUGCGGAGGAACACCGAUGGCGAAGGCAGCCUCCUGGGAUAACACUGACGCUCAUGCACGAAAGCGUGGGGAGCAAACAGGAUUAGAUACCCUGGUAGUCCACGCCCUAAACGAUGUCAACUAGCUGUUGGGGGCCUUCGGGCCUUGGUAGCGCAGCUAACGCGUGAAGUUGACCGCCUGGGGAGUACGGUCGCAAGAUUAAAACUCAAAGGAA